CCUACGGGGGGCAGCAGUGGGGAAUAUUGGACAAUGGGCGAAAGCCUGAUCCAGCCAUGCCGCAUGAGUGAAGAAGGCCUUAGGGUUGUAAAGCUCUUUUAGUGAGGAAGCGGUACUCACAGAAGAAGUCCUGGCUAACUCCGUGCCAGCAGCCGCGGUAAUACGGAGAGGGCUAGCGUUAUUCGGAAUUAUUGGGCGUAAAGAGCGCGUAGGCUGAUUAGUAAGUUAAAAGUGAAAUCCCGAGGCUCAACCUUGGAAUUGCUUUUAAAACUGCUAGUCUAGAGAUUGAAAGAGGGUAGAGGAAUUCCUAGUGUAGAGGUGAAAUUCGUAAAUAUUAGGAGGAACACCAGUGGCGAAGGCGUCUAUCUGGUUCAACUGACGCUGAGGCGCGAAGGCGUGGGGAGCAAACAGGAUUAGAUACCCUUGUAGUC
Molecule: ribosomal RNA, 431 nt
Filed under: uncultured bacterium
Lineage: Bacteria
Description: partial 16S ribosomal RNA
Rfam family: Bacterial small subunit ribosomal RNA
Source: RNAcentral